GACGAACGCUGGCGGCGUGCCUAAUACAUGCAAGUAGAACGCUGAAGACUUUAGCUUGCUAAAGUUGGAAGAGUUGCGAACGGGUGAGUAACGCGUAGGUAACCUGCCUACUAGCGGGGGAUAACUAUUGGAAACGAUAGCUAAUACCGCAUAACAGCAUUUAACCCAUGUUAGAUGCUUGAAAGGAGCAAUUGCUUCACUAGUAGAUGGACCUGCGUUGUAUUAGCUAGUUGGUGAGGUAACGGCUCACCAAGGCGACGAUACAUAGCCGACCUGAGAGGGUGAUCGGCCACACUGGGACUGAGACACGGCCCAGACUCCUACGGGAGGCAGCAGUAGGGAAUCUUCGGCAAUGGGGGCAACCCUGACCGAGCAACGCCGCGUGAGUGAAGAAGGUUUUCGGAUCGUAAAGCUCUGUUGUAAGAGAAGAACGUGUGUGAGAGUGGAAAGUUCACACAGUGACGGUAACUUACCAGAAAGGGACGGCUAACUACGUG
This 497-nucleotide ribosomal RNA is filed under the name uncultured organism. RNAcentral's name for it is "bacterial SSU rRNA". It matches the Rfam family "Bacterial small subunit ribosomal RNA", at positions 28 to 507 of the family's 1533-position model. The record is from RNAcentral.